This 425-nucleotide ribosomal RNA is filed under the name uncultured bacterium. RNAcentral's name for it is "partial 16S ribosomal RNA". It matches the Rfam family "Bacterial small subunit ribosomal RNA", at positions 354 to 796 of the family's 1533-position model. The record is from RNAcentral.
GUUAGGAAUAUUGGACAAUGGGCGCAAGCCUGAUCCAGCCAUGCCGCGUGAGUGAUGAAGGCCUUCGGGUUGUAAAGCUCUUUAGUCCACGAAUAUAAUGACUGUAGUGGAAGAAUAAGCCCCGGCUAACUUCGUGCCAGCAGCCGCGGUAAUACGAAGGGGGCGAGCGUUAUUCGGAAUCACUGGCCGUAAAGCGUGCGUAGGCUGUUUUGUAAGUUAGAAGUGAAAGCCCAGGGCUUAACCCUGGAAUUGCUUUUGAAACUACAAGACUCGAAUUCGGGAGAGGAUAGCGGAAUUGUCAGUGUAGCAGUGAAAUGCGUAGAUAUUGACAGGAACACCAGUGGCGCAAGCGGCUAUCUGGACCGAUAUUGACGCUGAGGCACGAAAGCGUGGGGAGCAAACAGGAUUAGAAACCCGGGUAGUCC